Non-coding RNA from Dipodomys spectabilis (banner-tailed kangaroo rat), 441 nucleotides. Lineage: Eukaryota; Metazoa; Chordata; Mammalia; Rodentia; Heteromyidae. The record is from the annotation of a RefSeq genome assembly.
GGCUCAGAUCUGAACUUGCCUUGAUCUGUCAAGACUCCUCAUUUUACUCCAAAAAUGAAGUCCUUGUCUCAGCUCCUGUGGCUGUUAAUGCUCUGGAUCCCUGGAUCCAGUGGAGAUGUUGUGCUGACCCAGUCUCCAAGUUCCCUGCCUGUCAUCCUGGGAGAAACAGUCUCCAUCUCCUGCAGGUCUAGUCAGAGCCUUUUGCACAGCAAUGGAAGGACCUAUCUGGAUUGGUACCUGAAGAAGCCAGGCCAGUCUCCACAAGUACUGAUCUAUGAGGUUUCCAACAGAUAUUCUGGGGUCUCAGAUAGAUUGACUGGCAGUGGGGCAAUCACAGAUUUCACAUUGAGAAUCAGCAGGGUGCAGGCUGAGGAUGUUGGAGUUUAUUACUGCUUGCAACGUACACAUGAGCCUCCCACAUUGGUGGAGGAAACAAGUUAA